AUUAAUUAGACCAUAUGAAGAAGGCUGAGGGAGGUUUCACACGAUGACAAAUGUCAUCAGAAAGGAAAAAAACUAAAGUGUCUCCGAACGGAGAUUAUCCUUGAAAAAGCAACAAUAAACUGGAACUGAUCUUAUCACAAAUUGUAUCCCUCACAAAGAUCUCUCGCAUGGGCCCCCGUCUUCAGCCGAGCUGGCAGACAGACCCGCGUGUCGCACGCGAUUUACAGCAGGUAUUUAGCUAAAUCCGUUCCAGUAAGAUGCAAGAACGGAAGCCUGGCUGGGACACACACACCGGUCGCGUCUGCAAUCCCCCCCACGAGCUGAGACGUGUUGAGAUCAAGACUGCAGAGCCGUCUUUUAUUAGGAUACAGGUAUGUUUCCCUGCCGAUGAGUGUAGACCGGAGCACAAAGUGAAUGCAGGGAAAAAAUAAGCCCAAACAGCAGUUUGCUGGCACCUCUAUGUGCCAGGAGAAGCUGUGCAGAGCCGACACCAGCCAAAGGAUUAAUGAUCCCGGGGGAGGCUAAGGAACACAUCUCCAUCAAAAGGCUCCUCAAGACCUAUAUCCCGCCUCAUCUCCUUCAGUCAGCAAACCAACAUUUCUCAGAGCUCCCGGCAGCACAUGAGAAGUGUCACUACAGACAGUUCUCUUGUGUGGUCCCAGAAUGGUAGUAUGAACUGCUGAACCACAUCCGGUCAACUGACUCCCUCUCCACCUUCAAGAAGCACCUGAAGACCCUUCUGUUCCAUGAAUUCCUCUAAAUCCCGAUGCCUCCAACAUUCCCUGAAUGUUCAUAUGUUGCAUUUCUGGUUCUUGAAUAGUCUUAUGAGGUUCCUGGUUUGACAGAAGUACAUCCUGCUCUUAUCCUGCUUACACUCAUACCUGAGCUUUCGUUGGAUGCACUAUUACCUAGUUGACUGCAUGACUGCACAUUUGCGUGACUUGUAUGUAACUUUGGAUAAAAUAUGUAAACGUAACGUGUUACUGUCAAUUGUAAAGUCACAAUGCAUUACUAUAUGUUUGAUUGCGUUUACUGGACACGUUAAUUUUGAGACCCCGAUGAGAAAAUAAUAUGAGUGACUUUUUUUAGUAGAGACCUAGAGUAUUCCUUCCAGGUUGUAAACAAUGUGAGAACUUUGGUUGUGAUGUUGCAUAGCAUCCCAGAAUUCACAGCUAAAAACAAUUUUUGAAUUAACAUUCCAUUAGUGUCUCACGGGGAAGCUGAAGGAGGGGAGAGGCAUGGAAACAUCGUUACUUGGUUCAUUUCAUUUUUAAAAAUGACCAGACUGCUCAGAGGUUAAAAAUAUCAUAAUUUGCAACAGUUGUUUUAUUUUAUUGAAGGCUAAAACUUAAAAUGAGGACCUUGCCAGUUACUAACGCAUCUUCAGUGGUUGUAAGGCAUCUGCUUUUAGAGCCAUUCGCCAAAAAGAUUUUAGAUUGAGAUGUUUUUGUUCCUAAACAUUCACAUUCUGUUUUGAGAGCAAUGUCAAAAACUGAGGAAAAAAAGAGUCUGUUGGUGGACAAAGUGGAGUGAAUUGCUUUUAUGUCUUAGCAGUUUUAUUUGACCCAUGCGACACUAAUAUGGGAAUAAUCUAUUCCUGUCUUUAUUUUGAGACUUGUGUUUGGAAUACAUAAAUUUCUACGCUGAAUACCCAGACUAUAAAAUCUAUCGUGAUUUAAAACUUAAUCGUCUGACAGCUAUUUCCUUUAAGCUUAGGAUACACUGGGUUAUCAUUGGAUGGCUCUUAGCCUGUAAUGUGAAUGUGUUUUCUGGUGAACUCGGUCCCCUUUAUGUUACGGCAGAGGUUCUGAGUCUGCCAAAUGAUAGCCAUCCUGAGCUGACGCUCUGCAUUAACGUUGGCAGGACAGCCUGGGGAAACAGUAACAUUUCACCACGUUCAGUGUCUGGCACCCCAGCACAGAAUAACCACGGUGUAAAAGGAAGAGCGCGCUCUGGCCUCUUAAUUAACUCCUGUUUGGCAACAGGAUGUGUUCCUGACAACUUUAAUCCAUCAGUUAUUAAGGCCUUAUUUUAAAGGGCCAACACGGCCCAAACGCCAUUAAUUACAGACCCCUUUCAUCUGCAAUUUUCCUCAAAGAUUCUUGGGGAAAAAAAUGUGGCUCAACAACUGAUUUUUUUCAGCCCAAUUAACAUUCAUAAAAUAUCCCAAUCUGUCUUUCUUCCUGCUCACAGCGCUGAAGAGGACCUUGUUAAUGUAAUGAAUGGUAUUUCGCUGUUUAUCCUUUGAGCUCUUGUCCAGUUUCUAUUUUGCCAUUCAGGGCAUCGGCGAUAUUCUGCUUUCAAAAGCAAAUCAAAGAGCACGGUUUCUGCGGAGCCCCAUUGUGCUUCACCAUGGAUGCGGUUCCUUUUAGACCUUUAAUAAUGACUAAUGCCUGAAUAAUAACUAUUGCUGUUAAUGAAGGUGCAAAUUUGUUAAAGGUGAUGAUGUCAAACACAUACGACAAACAAUACAUUUCUGCGAAACGAUAAACCACAAUUAUGCUGUAAUGACAUAAAGCAGCCAAUAAAAACAUAUUUCUCUCUUUAUAUUGUUAUAGACUAGAUAUAAAUAUUUAAACCUUAAUUUAAUAGUAUACUAGGAUUUACUAGGAUUAAUUGUUAAAAAAAGGCUUCCUAGCUUCCGUUUCAUUCUCGGCAGUUUUGAUUACUCGUUUGUUACUUGAUUUUUCUUAUUUGUAUUGUUAUUUCAUUUCGUCAGUGACGUGCUUGGAAGAUACCAUGGCGCUUGAUACAGCGGGGUGUCUGCUAUAGGUAGCAACAUUGAUAUCCCCCCCACUCAGUUACCAGUGGACCAAACCAGCCCAGGUAUCCAUAAGGGAGGGUUGAAGGUUAGUCAGGCAAAUAUUUAAUGUAAAUAACACUGUGUGAGAAAUAUCAAACUCUGAUGUCUUUAUGUCGUUAUAAAUUUGAUUCAUUUAGGAUGAAUAGCAUUUAGUUAAAAAGAUUUAUUUUUAUUUUUUUUGAAAUGAUGACAUUUGGGAUGUAAUUUGUACCUGAAUAACCUGAUACUGUAAUACUAUAAUGGAUUUUUAAAUGGUUAUUUUGUUUAUGUUUAUUUGAAAUGGUUCAGCAGGGAUUGUUUGUUCCUCAGUACUGGCAUUUUAGCUUUUCAGAAAUGGAAAAUACGGACACUCUGUGUACUUUUAUGCUUGCAAUACAGAUACAAAAUAGGU
Paramormyrops kingsleyae is the source of this 3194-nucleotide long non-coding RNA. RefSeq lists it as uncharacterized. Lineage: Eukaryota; Metazoa; Chordata; Actinopteri; Osteoglossiformes; Mormyridae. The record is from RefSeq and is a predicted model, not a curated record.